CGGUUGAUCCUGCCGGAGGUCACUGCUAUCGGGGUUCGAUUAAGCCAUGCGAGUUGAGAGGGUUAAGACCCUCAGCGGACUGCUCAGUAACACGUGGAUAACCUGCCCUAAGGUGGAGAAUAACCCCGGGAAACUGGGGAUAAUACUCCAUAGACUAGAGCUACUGGAAUGUUCUUUAGUCGAAAGUUGAGGCGCCUUAGGAUGGAUCUGCGGUCGAUUAGGUUGUUGUUGGGGUAACGGCCCAACAAGCCUGUAAUCGAUACGGGUUGUGGGAGCAAGAGCCCGGAGAUGGAAUCUGAGACACGAUUCCAGGCCCUACGGGGCGCAGCAGGCGCGAAAACUUUACAAUGCAGGAAACUGUGAUAAGGGAACCCCGAGUGCCCGUAUACGCGGGCUGUCCAGGUGUUUAAAAAGCAUCUGAAGAAAGGGCCGGGCAAGACCGGUGCCAGCCGCCGCGGUAAUACCGGCGGCUCGAGUGGUGGCCACUAUUAUUGGGCUUAAAGCGUCCGUAGCUGGACCCUUAAGUCUCUUGGGAAAUCCGCCGGCUUAACCGGCGGGCAUCCAGGAGAUACUGAGUGUCUAGGGACCGGGAGAGGUGAGAGGUACUCCGGGGGUAGGAGUGAAAUCCUGUAAUCCCCGGGGGACCACCGAUGGCGAAGGCAUCUCACCAGAACGGCUCCGACAGUGAGGGACGAAAGCUGGGGGAGCGAACCGGANUANAUACCCGGGUAGUCCCAGCCGUAAACUAUGCGCGUUANGUGUACUGGUGACCAUGAGUCACUGGGGUGCCNAAGGNAAACCGUGAAACGUGCCGCCUGGNAAGUACGGUCGCAAGGCUGAAACUNNNNNAAUUGGNNGGGGAGCACNNGGGCGAAUUC
Molecule: ribosomal RNA, 878 nt
Filed under: uncultured Methanogenium sp.
Lineage: Archaea; Methanobacteriati; Methanobacteriota; Methanomicrobia; Methanomicrobiales; Methanomicrobiaceae
Description: bacterial SSU rRNA
Rfam family: Archaeal small subunit ribosomal RNA
Source: RNAcentral